Molecule: long non-coding RNA, 623 nt
Organism: Lycium barbarum (goji berry)
Lineage: Eukaryota; Viridiplantae; Streptophyta; Magnoliopsida; Solanales; Solanaceae
Exons: 3
Source: RefSeq, a predicted model, not a curated record
UUUUUUUUUCACACCGCUUUGAUCUCGUUGAUUCUUUUAUCGCAUUGUUAAAUUCGGGCUUCUUCGUAGUGAAGUAAGGUGGAAGAAGAUUAUUUCUUGGAAUAUAAGGCUAAAGGGGCGACGAAGCGAACUUGGUUACGGUUAACCUAUAAAAGGUACAGAUAGUCGGUUUGGUGACCCUUCAGCAUAGGACUUCUACUCAGCUAUCUUGGAGAGCUCCGUUGUUUCGGAGUUUAGACUUUCAGUACAGAUCUUGUGAGAUAUAUAUGUAUAUGUUAUCCAGGGGUACGGCGGGGCCCUGUCCCGUCAUAUGUUACUGUUGAUACUCUUAGAGGUCUGUAGACAUAUGUGUGGGUUGUGUAUGGGUUCUGUUCAGCUGUGUCUAUACGAUGUGCUGUGGUAUGAUGUUCGUCUAUAAUGGCAGCCUUGUCGGCUUGCAUAUGAUAUUGAUAUGUGAUGGCGGCCUUGUCGGCUUGCGUAUUAUUUCAUGAUAUGAUCAGUUGUGACUCCUCAGGAGACAGUGUAUCUGAAUAUACAUAUAUGAUGAGGCUAUGAACCUUCAGAGUUCUUUCGUAAAGUUCCAUAUUGUUCGUAGUUUCAGUUGGCUAUAUCUGAUAGGUAUG